This 995-nucleotide long non-coding RNA is filed under the name Oreochromis niloticus (Nile tilapia). RNAcentral describes it as "lncRNA (ENSONIG00000037362.1)". Lineage: Eukaryota; Metazoa; Chordata; Actinopteri; Cichliformes; Cichlidae. The record is from RNAcentral.
GAAAUGUGAGCAGAGCUAUGGCUUUUCUCGUUUCUCAUCCUGUGAGGAAGUUUUCUCCACAACAAGUGGAUCCUGGAAGGAGACGCUCGGGUCCUUACAAGAUGAGCAAAUCUGAUUGAGGCUGGUUGCUGGAUUGAUGACGAUCCCUGUGAUGGAUUUAUUGAAGUGUAGAUUUACAAGUUCUGAAAACAGAAAACUGCUGGAGCAAAGAACUGCCGUCUUCCUCGUCUCUGUCAGGAGUCACUCUCUGCUCUGCCUGGUGGUUUCACACAAAUCAAAAGCAACGAGAGAAGCUGAUUGGAGGAGUAACUGUAGCAUGAGCUACACCUGCGUCCAGUGAGCUCAGUCACAAAGGUCCCUCCUUUCUGCAGCUGACCUCACGUUGCAUGUCCUGCUUCGGAUAGCAGCUUCCUGAAGUUUUACUUUCCACGCACUGCCACAUGUCCAUGCACACUUUGCAUGAGUAACUCGCUGACAAACACGUUCUCUUUAAUUAUGUUCUGUAGAAUAAAUGAUUGUUUGCUAGUUAGUACCUCAUGUAGUGCCCCUCAGUUUUAUUGCAGCCUGUGAGAUGGGUUGUGACAGGUUUAACAGCCACAAUCGUCCCAGCAGAUUCAUCUGAGACUCUGCAGGCUUCAGACGGAACAAGAAUGGCUUGUUUGGAAGGGCUGCCAGGAGAAAAGCCUCUUCUCUUUUUCAAUAAAAAGAAGACGGCACAGCUUAGGUUUGCAAAGCAGCAUCUGAACAAACAACAGAGGUUUUUGAACAAUGUCCUUUGGAGAAAUGACACCAAAGCGGAGACGUUUCAAUGCCUCAUUUGAGAAAACCAAACACGGCAGCACCUCAUAGUAACUGUCAGCCCGGUGGUGGAGCUGUGAGGAUUUGGGUUGUUUGCAGCCACAGGACCUGGACACCGUGCAGUCAUAGAGUCAAUGUGAGGCUGAAGCCAGGUCUAAACUGGGCCAUGCAUCGGGACAAUGAUCCCAAACACAGCA